GUUUUUUUCUUCUUCUUCUUA
This 21-nucleotide small RNA is filed under the name Arabidopsis thaliana (thale cress). Its description in RNAcentral is "ATSL068800". Lineage: Eukaryota; Viridiplantae; Streptophyta; Magnoliopsida; Brassicales; Brassicaceae. The record is from RNAcentral.